This 255-nucleotide long non-coding RNA is filed under the name Lathyrus oleraceus (garden pea). RNAcentral describes it as "Pisum sativum (pea) long non-coding RNA (PSAT_LNC034203)". The record is from RNAcentral. Lineage: Eukaryota; Viridiplantae; Streptophyta; Magnoliopsida; Fabales; Fabaceae.
UUGCAUUGAAACUAGUUGAUUCAAUCUGAUUUACACGAUAAAACAAAAAUCAAAAUAACAACCAAAAAAAUUAGUUACAAUAUCUUAUAACAAAUAGGAGGUGCAAUGCUCAAUGGGCCCAACGUAAAUAAGAAAAGCCCAAUACUCACUCUAAAUCUAAUUUUACAAUAAUAACACAUAAUAAAACAUUAAAAAUAGAAUAAAUAAAUGGCAUAUAAUAAAUAUAAAAAAUUAAAGAAAUUAAAGAAAUAAAAU